This 68-nucleotide transfer RNA is filed under the name Loxodonta africana (African savanna elephant). It matches the Rfam family "tRNA". Rfam says of the family: Transfer RNA (tRNA) molecules are approximately 80 nucleotides in length. The record is from Rfam by way of RNAcentral. Lineage: Eukaryota; Metazoa; Chordata; Mammalia; Proboscidea; Elephantidae.
CUGGGUGAUGCAAAGGGCUAAUGCAUUCAGCUUCUAACCGAAAGGUUGGAGGUUCAAGUCCACCCAGA